This is a long non-coding RNA of Diorhabda sublineata, 607 nucleotides long. RefSeq lists it as uncharacterized. The record is from RefSeq and is a predicted model, not a curated record. The transcript has 3 exons. NCBI's taxonomy places the organism in Eukaryota, Metazoa, Arthropoda, Insecta, Coleoptera, Chrysomelidae.
UAAAAGACUGCGUUUAACGACUUGUUAAAUUUUUUCUUAGAUAGUUUUCUUUAUACAAACAUUAGCAAAAAGAUUUUACACGUUUAUAUUUCAUUCUCGAACUACUUUUUGUUUCGAAAAAAACUGAUUUGCAGCCGAAAAUAGCACAUCCGAUACUUGGUAUUUUAAUUAUAAAUACGUUAUAUUUACUACAUUCAUAUCAGCGCUAUUCUGGAAAGUUUUAGAAUUAUUAUUUAUCGUAUACAGCUGGAUAUUUUUUCAAUUUUUCUACUAUAUGAGCCAAACAUGAGGUGUUAGCUAAAGAAUAUCGGCACAAUGUCUAUUGGGACUAACGUGAAUCAUUGAGGAUUUUAGAUUCACAAAUGAAGAGUUCAUUACAUGAAGUUUUUUUAAAUUCAGUGUUUUUAUUUGAUUGUUUCUAUUGGAAAAAAAAACACCUUCACUUUAUUAAUAAAUAAAUAUCAGGGUGGACCAAGUUUUCUAGUUACGAAAUAUUGAAUUGUAGCUGGAGCAACAACAACAAAAAGCGAUUCCGAUGAAAGGCUCAACAUUGUAUUCAAAUUUAUAGUUGUUUUUUGGAAAGUUAAAUAUAUUUUUAAAAAUAAAA